RNAcentral lists this ribosomal RNA (443 nucleotides) under Cardioglossa oreas manengouba. RNAcentral describes it as "Cardioglossa manengouba partial 16S ribosomal RNA". It matches the Rfam family "Bacterial large subunit ribosomal RNA", at positions 1985 to 2597 of the family's 2925-position model. Lineage: Eukaryota; Metazoa; Chordata; Amphibia; Anura; Arthroleptidae. The record is from RNAcentral.
GACUAGUAUGAACGGCACCACGAAGACUAUACUGUCUCCUCUCUGCAAUCAGUGAAACUGAUCUCCCCGUGAAAAAGCGGGAAUUAUAUUAUAAGACGAGAAGACCCCAUGGAGCUUUAAGAAAAUAACAACUGUCAUAACUAUAUCAUAAAAACUUGACAAACCUGACUAUUAACUUUCGGUUGGGGUGACCACGGAGUAAAACAAAACCUCCGCAAUGAACGAGCCCGGCUCUAACUCAAGAACCACACUUCCAAAAAUCAUUAUAUUGACAUUUAUUGACCCAAACCCUUGAUCAAUGAACCAAGUUACCCUGGGGAUAACAGCGCAAUCCAUUUUAAGAGCCCCUAUCGACAAAUGGGUUUACGACCUCGAUGUUGGAUCAGGGUAUCCUAGUAGUGCAGUCGCUACUGAAGGUUUGUUUGUUCAACAAUUAAAACCCU